AAGGCUGAAGGCCAUUGCUAGAGGAACAGCGUGGGAGAGACAUGGAGGUGCGAGAUCCUGGAGUGAGUAGUUCAGUUUGCCACAAACCCUCAUGGCAGAUGUGCUAGUCACUGCUCAAGGCAGACAGCCUCCCAGGUGAGCGGAAGGAACCAGGUGGCAUACCAGGUUUGUUGCUCCAGGUUGGCCGAGGGUGUUCCUUUUGGAGUCACCCUGAUGCAUGUGUACCCAGGUGCCUUCCUACCCUCCCAGGAGCCACACCUCUGAUGGCGCCCAACAGUAGCUGAGGUGGGGGCAGGGAAGGCUGGAGAGGUCAGUUCCAUUUUCCUGGAAGAGUGUUUCUGAGGUGGGACCUCUGGAGUCUGGGGAAGCUUUUUCUGUCGUCUGAAUGAUUUUGCUGGGAACCUGACAAUAGUUGUAUUACAUUUGCGUCGUGGCUUUACAUCAUUUCUUUGGUUGGCCUGGACCAGUUAGAGUCACCCAGCAGGUAAUAUUUAUUUAACACUGUGUACGUUACAUUACAGGAUGAUGCAAAGCAAGCCAACAAUGACAUUCCUCUCGAUCGCUUGACAAUAUCUUAUUGUCGGAGUAGUGGUCCUGGAGGCCAGAAUGUUAACAAAGUGAAUUCCAAGGCUGAAGUCAGGUUCCAUUUGGCAACUGCCGACUGGAUCGCAGAGCCUGUGCGGCAGAAGAUGGCCAUCACG
Molecule: long non-coding RNA, 701 nt
Organism: Hipposideros armiger (great roundleaf bat)
Lineage: Eukaryota; Metazoa; Chordata; Mammalia; Chiroptera; Hipposideridae
Exons: 3
Source: RefSeq, a predicted model, not a curated record